Non-coding RNA from Salmo salar (Atlantic salmon), 2756 nucleotides. The record is from RefSeq and is a predicted model, not a curated record. NCBI's taxonomy places the organism in Eukaryota, Metazoa, Chordata, Actinopteri, Salmoniformes, Salmonidae.
AAGUCGGGAUGUAAACAGUGUAACACCAAUGUGAACAUGGCUUCAGUAAAACGCUGUCAAUGACAGAGGACUUCAGACCAAUGGUUUACAUAUACACAUCAUUGCUUCAGACACGUGAAAGAAACUAAUAUUUAGUUUUUUUAAACAACAAAUAUGAGGCUUCAUCAGAUACUCCGCAAUGCAGCAAACUUCAGGACGGUCUUUGACUUCGGCGACAGAGAGGUUGCACACUGGUUCCCCAGACAUAUGGCAAAAGGUCUGAAACAGAUGAAGGCCAGUGUGAAGAAUGUUGACUGCAUCCUAGAAAUCCACGAUGCCAGAAUCCCGUUCUCAGGUAGAAACCCUCUUUUCCAGGAUAGUCUGGACGUCAGACCUCAUCUUCUGGUGCUGAACAAGAUGGACCUGGCUGACCUGUCUGCCAAGCAUAUGAUUUUGAAACAGCUUGAAAGACAUGGAGUGAAGAAGGUCCUGUUCACAGACUGCCUCAGACAGAGAGAUGACAACGUCAAAAAGCUGGUUCCCAUGGUCACAGAAUUAAUCGAGAGCCAGCCACGCUUCCACCGAGAGGAGAACACCAACUUCUGUCUGAUGGUGAUUGGGGUGCCCAACGUUGGAAAGUCAUCACUCAUCAAUGCUCUGAGGAGAACCAACCUCAAGAAAGGUCGGGGGUCAAAAGUAGGAGGGGAACCAGGCAUUACCAAAGCAGUGUUGACUAGAAUACAGGUGUGUGAGAGACCCAUCAUCCAUCUUCUAGAUACGCCUGGUGUCCUUCCUCCGAAGAUACAGAGUCUGGAGACAGGCAUGAAGCUAGCCCUAUGUGGAACCAUCCUGGACCAUCUAGUAGGAGAAGACAUCAUGGCAGACUACCUACUGUUCUCUCUCAAUAGACUGGAGAAGUACAGUUACGUGGAGAGGUAUGAUCUCAGGGAGCCUAGUGAUGACAUCCAGCAGGUGUUGAAACAUAUCGCUGUCAAACUGGGAAAGACUCAACGAGUUAAAGCCAUCACUGGAGUGGGUAACAUCACCCUCACAGUGCCUAACUACACAGCAGCAGCCUAUGAUUUCAUCAGAGCGUUCAGGAAGGGAGAGCUGGGACAGGUCAUGCUGGACUGACCACUACCACACCACAGACUGACUACAACACAGACCACUACUACAACACAGAUGAUUGGUCUGGCAGACACACACCGUACUCACAGACUCAGGAGUCUGGUCUCUCACCAUAGAAAUCUACCUGACAGAGACCUUGUUGGAAACUCAAGAGUGCAGAAUACUGACUCAAACAAUGGAAGCAGCAGGAGAACAAAAUAUCUCUGACGGUUGACGAGCAGGGAUACCUUCUACGUCAACACCAGGACCAGCUGGCACAACUGGGGACGGCUAUGGGAGAGGUUCUUCGCAGUGGGCAACGUUUCAAACAUACCUGGGAGGCGUUGCCGUCAACUAGCGGAGGAUACUCUUCAACCAGUCGAGCCAGCACAACAGCACAUUCAGCAACCCGCUCAGGUCAGCGAUGCCCGUUUGUCCCUCCUGGAUAAAUAUGAUGGCACCCCAUCUAAAUGCCGUGGCUUCCUACUUCAGUGCUCCCUGUAUACGCACUAGAGGGGAGCUCCCACCACCGAGAGGUCCAAGGUUACCACGGUUAUUCCUUUGACUGGGCGGGUGUUAGUGGGCCAUGGCCAUCUGGGAGAGAGGAGAGGAGGAGCUAGAUUCAUAUGAGGGGUUCAUGACUCUGUUUAAAUGCAUCUUCGAUCAUCCCCCAGAUGGCAGAGAGGUGGGUGAGCGUCUACUCCAAUUACGGCAGGGGGUCCAGACUGCUGCAUAGUACACGCUCACCUUCCGGACAGUAGCAGCAUCCAGCGGCUGGAACGAGCCGGCGCUUCGUUCGCUAUUCAGAAGAGGUCUGCGCGAGGAGGUCCAGAUGGAACUGGCCUGUCGAGACGACAAGCUCUCCUUGCACGCACUCAUUGCAAUGGCCAUCCGUCAGGGUAACCUACUUCGGGAGCGUUGGUACUCUCAUCUCUUUCCUUAAGGGUGGUCCCCGUAGGUUGGUGUGGAGCCCAGCAGCCGACGAGGCCUUCUGUCUACUCAAGGGACGUUUCACCUCCGCCCCAUUGCUCAAACACCCAGAUCCCACGAUAUCCUUUGUGGUGGUGGACGCUUCAGAGUUGGGCAUUCUGGGUGUAGUUCUGUCUCAACGAGAUGGUAAUCCUCCGACCGUGGCCCCCAAUUCACAUCACGGGUAUGGAGAAGCUCGGGGUCACGGUCAGCCUCCGGGUACUGGCCUCAGUCCAACGGCAGGUGAAGAGGAUGAACCAGGAGCUGGAAUGGUUCCUAAGGAGUCACUGUCAGAACCGGCAAGGAGAGUGAGCUCGAUUCCUUCCAUGGGCAGAGUACACCCAGAACUCGCUACGUCACGCCUCCACUGGGUUUGACUCCCUACCAGUGUGUUCUGGGUUUUCAGCCGGCCCUGGCUCCGUGGCCCCGGGUUAGACCGAAUCUCCUGCGGUUGAUCUCCAGCUCGCCGUCCACCGUCAAAAGGAGCAGACCGACUGCCACCUCAGUGCGACCCCUGUGUUCCACCCUGGGGAUCGUGUCUGGCUUUCUACCAGGAACCUUCCACUCUGCCUGCCCUGCAGGAAACCGAGCCCCCGGUUUGUGAGGCCGUUCAAGGUCCUCCGGAGCGUCAACGAGGUGACGUAUAGAUUACAGCUUCCCAGUGACUACCAUAUCUCACCUUCUUUUCAUGUCUCCCU